UUUACGCCCCCAUUUCUCUAUCAGAAACCCCCAAUACACAAAAGAAAAAAAACCCCUUUCUAUGCAAGAUCGCUUAAAACCCUUUCUCAGGCGAUCACUUUCUCUCAAAUCUAUUAGUGUGAUGCCGUUGCAUCUCGGGUGGUUCAUAUGUAUCCACUGCCGUCACAUUUUAAUUUGUAUCCAGUGCCAACAGAUUUCAAAAAUUGCGGUCAGAUUACAAUUUGUAUCCACGCCGAUUUGGGAUGGAGUUGGGUUUUAAAAUUUAAUGGAUUGAUUUUCAAUUGUUUUUUUUAUUUAUUUAUAUUAUUACUACGAAGGGUGUUGAUCUUCAAUCAGCACCAUAAACCACCGCCGCUCUCUCUAAUCGCUGCCCGGAAAUAGUCGCUGCUGCCAUCUCCAAAUAACUCGAUUCGAUUCAACACAGAGAUCCACAUUGGUAAAUUUUGAAUGAAAUGAUCACACGGGUAUGUAAUCAUUCAUCACCUUGGAGCAGAUCUUUGGAACUCUAAAGGAGCACAAGAAAUCUAAGGCCUAUCAUGAUGUUGACAAGAACAUAUGGUUCCGUAAUUACCAGGUUGGUGAUGAAGAUAGUGACCAUAUAGUUCAAUAGGACCUAAUUCUGUAUUUGUUUUACCGUAUUUAGUUAAGAAAUAGGAAUUUCGACUAUCAUUUAGCAAAGGUUGUUAGAAAACAUGAUAUGUUAAUAAUUUGUACUUAUUUUUAAUGCUGAAAGCGUUCUGCUUCCAGAUCCAUCUCUUUA
Molecule: long non-coding RNA, 760 nt
Organism: Erigeron canadensis
Lineage: Eukaryota; Viridiplantae; Streptophyta; Magnoliopsida; Asterales; Asteraceae
Exons: 3
Source: RefSeq, a predicted model, not a curated record